RNAcentral lists this long non-coding RNA (1505 nucleotides) under Homo sapiens (human). Its description in RNAcentral is "HSALNT0327937". The stretch from base 874 to 949 matches the Rfam family "mir-9/mir-79 microRNA precursor family". Lineage: Eukaryota; Metazoa; Chordata; Mammalia; Primates; Hominidae. The record is from RNAcentral.
GACAGAGCACCCGGACCCGCGGCGGCAGCGGCAGCGACGCUACCCACCCUCUUCCCCAACACCCACCUAGCCAGCGAGUCACCGAGCCACCGGCCCUCGGGCCGGCGCCUCGGUUCCUGCCCAGCUGGAUUUGGGGGGCAGCAUUGCCUGGCGCAGGGAGAUCAAAUGAGACUGCAAAGAAGCAUAAAAUGAAUAGACAAUCCAACCAACCAAAGACCGGGGGCAGCAGCAGGCCAGCAAGACGGCAUCUUCUCCUUCCCAGCCUAGAAGCCCUGUGAAAUCGAGGAUCUUCCCCCUAAAACACAUACACACAAGAUAUGUGCAAUCAAGCUGCCACCGCUUGGUAAAAAGCCAUGGUGCCUAACCAAAAAGGAUCAGGAACAGAUCCUUGAAUCAGCUGUCACUUCUAUAGAAUGGGAUUUUUUUUUCCUUCCUCCUUAACCUGCGCUGGAAAUUGCCGUUGGCUUUAUACAUCUCUAUAGAGAGAGGCUAAAGAGUCUUGCGUGAGAAAGAAGCAAUUUACAAUGCAAAUAGAGGCCUGUGAAGGGACGGAUGCUGCUGCUCACUCGUAACAGCUUGCUGCACCUUAAUAGCUGGUUUUAUUUUCUGAUAUUAAUAGAUGAAUUGUUGGCUAACGCUGCCGGAGAUUACUUGCUGAAAGGAAAAAGAAAAGUUCGGAAUAAACUCUGAAGGCAACAGAUCUCGUUUGGAUGUUUUAGCCGCGCACACACACAAACAGAAACCAGGUCAUAUUUACAUAAAAGGAGGAAUCUUAAGCGCGGCAAGUAUCCUGGACGACCACUCUUCGGUACUGCCAGAAAGGAUCAGGACCUGGAGUCUGGCAAGAGGAAGACAGAGGCCUGUGUGGGAAGCGAGUUGUUAUCUUUGGUUAUCUAGCUGUAUGAGUGUAUUGGUCUUCAUAAAGCUAGAUAACCGAAAGUAAAAACUCCUUCAAGAUCGCCGGGGAGCGUGUGAGAAUGAAAGACUACAGCCGAGAGACAGUAAAAACCAGAAAGGUCAGGAAUACUUAUUGAAUCUAACUUUGUUUUUGUUUUGUUUUUUUCCUUAUGAUUAAAGGUGGGAUGAGAGAAAAUUAAAUGACACACACAUGCUAAAAUAUCAAGGUUCCAGAUAUGUCUUGAGAGGGGUUGUUGCAGCUGCAAAGGAGAAGUGUAUAGUGAUAAUGAGUAAAGAUGCAUGUGCAGUUUGUUCUAUUUUAAGGCAAAAGUUAUAUCAGGGAUUUUUUUCUUAGAAAGGUGUUGCAGAGAUGUCUGGUACCUAGUUUAAAAAUGAUUCCAUAAUAUGUAGACUUGGGCAGUUCCUUUGGGAGGCACCUCCCUCUCAAAAUUUGAAGAUUGUGCUUGGAAAUUACUUUACAUGUAUUUGGGCUGUAUGUCAAUUUGUACGAAAUUAGACUUUCAGAAAAGUUUAUACUGGAAGGUUAAUAAUUUGUAUCUACUGAGGACUUAGAGCUAGCAGGCAAAAUGAAAAAAAAAAAAAAAAAA